AGAGUUUGAUCAUGACUCAGAAUGAACGCUGGCGGCAUGCCUAACACAUGCAAGUCGAACGAGAUCUUCGGAUCUAGUGGCGCACGGGUGAGUAACGCGUGGGAACCUACCUUUUAGUACGGGACAACGUUUGGAAACGAACGCUAAUACCGUAUACUCCCUCCGGGGGAAAGGUCAGCCGCUAAAAGAGGGGCCCGCGUCUGAUUAGCUUGUUGGUAAGGUAAUGGCUUACCAAGGCUACGAUCAGUAGCUGGUCUGAGAGGAUGAUCAGCCACACUGGGACUGAGACACGGCCCAGACUCCUACGGGAGGCAGCAGUGGGGAAUAUUGGACAAUGGAGGCAACUCUGAUCCAGCAAUGCCG
Molecule: ribosomal RNA, 363 nt
Filed under: uncultured Alphaproteobacteria bacterium
Lineage: Bacteria; Pseudomonadati; Pseudomonadota; Alphaproteobacteria
Description: bacterial SSU rRNA
Rfam family: Bacterial small subunit ribosomal RNA
Source: RNAcentral